Amphimedon queenslandica is the source of this 235-nucleotide long non-coding RNA. RefSeq lists it as uncharacterized. The record is from RefSeq and is a predicted model, not a curated record. Lineage: Eukaryota; Metazoa; Porifera; Demospongiae; Haplosclerida; Niphatidae. The transcript is spliced from 3 exons.
CCCUGUAACUGUCUCCAGUCUCCACAGUCCACACUCUCUACAAGGUUCUAGUACUCACUUAUGUGUAUCACUAUAUUAUGUACCCAUGGAACUCUCUCUCUCUCUCUCUAAUGUUAACUUUCUCUACACUCACUACAGGGUUCUACUACUCACUAAUAUCAAAAAGGCUCUCUCUGUACCAUCAAUCACACCUGCAUGUAAUAUCUCCAUUUUAUCAUGCAAAUUAUAAUAAAGA